Cavia porcellus (domestic guinea pig) is the source of this 65-nucleotide transfer RNA. It matches the Rfam family "tRNA". Rfam says of the family: Transfer RNA (tRNA) molecules are approximately 80 nucleotides in length. Their secondary structure includes four short double-helical elements and three loops (D, anti-codon, and T loops). Further hydrogen bonds mediate the characteristic L-shaped molecular structure. tRNAs have two regions of fundamental functional importance: the anti-codon, which is responsible for specific mRNA codon recognition, and the 3' end, to which the tRNAs corresponding amino acid is attached (by aminoacyl-tRNA synthetases). tRNAs cope with the degeneracy of the genetic code in two manners: having more than one tRNA (with a specific anti-codon) for a particular amino acid; and 'wobble' base-pairing, i.e. permitting non-standard base-pairing at the 3rd anti-codon position. NCBI's taxonomy places the organism in Eukaryota, Metazoa, Chordata, Mammalia, Rodentia, Caviidae. The record is from Rfam.
GGGGGUUUAGCUCAGUGGCAUAAGCGCCUGCCUUGAAAGCAGGCAGACAUGAGUUUGAUCCCCUG